GACGAACGCUGGCGGCGUGCUUAACACAUGCAAGUCGAGCGGUAAGGCCCUUUCGGGGGUACACGAGCGGUCGAACGGGUGAGUAACACGUGGGUGACCUGCCCUCAGUUCUGGGAGUAAGCCUGGGAAACCGGGUACUAAUACUGGAUAUGACCUCAUGACGCAUGUUGUGGGGCGGAAAGCCUUGUGCGACUGAGGAUGGGGCCCGCGGCCUAUCAGCUUGUUGGUGGGGUGAUGGCCUACCAAGGCGACGACGGGUAGCCGGCCUGAGAGGGCGACCGGCCACACUGGGA
Molecule: ribosomal RNA, 293 nt
Filed under: uncultured bacterium
Lineage: Bacteria
Description: partial 16S ribosomal RNA
Rfam family: Bacterial small subunit ribosomal RNA
Source: RNAcentral